This is a long non-coding RNA of Oryzias melastigma (Indian medaka), 1128 nucleotides long. RefSeq lists it as uncharacterized. The record is from RefSeq and is a predicted model, not a curated record. Lineage: Eukaryota; Metazoa; Chordata; Actinopteri; Beloniformes; Adrianichthyidae. The transcript has 2 exons.
GCUCCAUAUCCUGCGCGCGCGCAGCUUCACGCGGGCUGCAGAGGAAAGUGGGAUAUUCCGCGCGGUUGCCACAGAGUCUCUCUCUCCUCUCUCCUCUCUCUCUCCCGCCCACGCCGCUCCCUGUGUGACGCAAAUCCGCGCGUGGGUGGACACACGGGGCGUGGGAGGCUUUCUGCACGGAAUACCAAACACAGGCAGGUUGAACACCCACAGAGACGCAGCAGCUCUGCACUCUUCACGCGCUCAGAUUAACUGCGCACGCGGCUCCUCAGCUGUAAAUAUUGUCUGAUUGUCAGUCAAUAUUAGAACUGCUUUCAGUCGUUCCCGCCGCAGCUUUCUGCCGUUCUAUUUGCUGUUAAAUUGACGGUUUUAAAAGUAAAAUCUACUCGUGCUUCUGUUUUGUUUUUAUUCAUUUUGGUAAUGUUAGCUUAUUUCAUGUUGUUUUAUUUUUUCCUGCUUUUUUGUGCCCCAGAUAAUAAAUCCUGGUCCUGCUGUUGUUGCCAGGUUUGGUCCCGACCCUCAAAAACAAAGUUUAAGCUAAAUAAUCAAGCAAAAACAGUUUCAGGUACGCAGGUAGGAUUCCAGCCCGCCCACCUUCAUCCUCUAAAUCCACGUCUGGAUGCUGGAUGUGCGUUCCAGCGUAAUUAUGCGGACACGACCUUCCUGCGGAUCGAACCAAACGUGGGGAAACGGGAGGUAAAAAGGAGCAGGGGUUCUCCUUUUCUUUCUUUCUUUCUUUUUUUGACCCCCUCCCCCCCUCCUCCCAUCGCCCACCUCGUCUCCCCCCCCUUUCAUCUGCGCACAGUUAUAAUCCGACUGCAAACAAAGCAAACAGGAACGCCAGCAGGAAAUGGGAUCUCCACCUACGCUGGGAGGUAGGUUGACACCCAGCCUGCCUGUUCCCACAAGUCCCAGUUUCCCAGUUUACCUUAUUUUAUGGAGCUGUUCCACUCACUCCCUCCUCUGCAGGUUCUUCUUUUUUUUUCAGUUCUGGAAAGUUCACGACCUCAGAUUCUAACUCUGCCCACCAGAAUCAACUUUUGAAACUUUUAUUUUGGAAAUUUGUUUUACACUUGAAGCUUAAAUCAUAAAAUGAUGUAAAAGAUCUCAUUUUCAUCCAGUAAGGAA